This 207-nucleotide ribosomal RNA is filed under the name uncultured bacterium. Its description in RNAcentral is "partial 16S ribosomal RNA". It matches the Rfam family "Bacterial small subunit ribosomal RNA", at positions 568 to 774 of the family's 1533-position model. The record is from RNAcentral.
CGUGUAGGCGGCUUUAUAAGUUGGAUGUAAAAGCUCCCGGCUUAACUGGGAGAGGACGUUCAAAACUAUAGAGCUUGAGUACGAGAGAGGAAAAUGGAAUUCCGGGUGUAGUGGUGAAAUGCGUAGAUAUCCGGAGGAACACCAGUGGCGAAGGCUAUUUUCUGGCUCGAGACUGACGCUCAGGCGCGAAAGCUAGGGUAGCAAACG